CCUCUUCAGGCUGCCCUAGCAGCUAGAGAUCUUAUUGAUACACAGAAAGUGAAAGCAAUUAUAGGACCUGAUACAUGGAAAGAGACAACUUUAGUGGCUGAUAUUUGUAGCCAAAAUAUGACCCCAGUUCUAUCUCUAGCUGAUGCAACUCCAAAUUGGUCAACUUUGAAGUGGCCCUACCUUGUGCAAAUCUCACGUAAUCAGUUUAAGCAGAUGAAAGCAGUAGCAGCUAUUGUACAAUCCUUUGAAUGGUACAACGUUAACAUAAUAUACGAUGAUACUGAUUCUUCAUCCACGAGAAUGUUCUCUCAUCUCUAUAGAGAUCUCAGUGUGUCAGGUAUUCAUAUAAGCAAUGUUUUGACCAUCCCUCCGUUAAGCUCCU
RNAcentral lists this small RNA (382 nucleotides) under Vigna angularis var. angularis. RNAcentral describes it as "Non-protein coding transcript". Lineage: Eukaryota; Viridiplantae; Streptophyta; Magnoliopsida; Fabales; Fabaceae. The record is from RNAcentral.